Molecule: ribosomal RNA, 1322 nt
Filed under: uncultured Alphaproteobacteria bacterium
Lineage: Bacteria; Pseudomonadati; Pseudomonadota; Alphaproteobacteria
Description: bacterial SSU rRNA
Rfam family: Bacterial small subunit ribosomal RNA
Source: RNAcentral
ACGUACGCUGGCGGCACGCCUAACACAUGCAAGUCGAACGAAGUAGCAAUACUUAGUGGCAGACGGGUGAGUAACAUGUAGGUAUCUGCCCUUUGGCCUGGAAUAACACGAGGAAACUUGUGCUAAUACCGGAUAAGUCUUUACGGAGAAAGCUUUAUGCACCAUUGGAUGAGCCUGCACUUGAUUAGUUUGUUGGUGGGGUAAUGGCCUACCAAGACUGUGAUCAAUAGCUGAUUUGAGAGGAUGAUCAGCCACAUUGGGACUGAGACACGGCCCAAACUCCUACGGGAGGCAGCAGUGGGGAAUCUUGCACAAUGGAGGAAACUCUGAUGCAGCGAUGCCGCGUGAGUGAAGAAGGCCUUUGGGUUGUAAAGCUCUUUCGUCGGGGAAGAAAAUGACUGUACCCGAAUAAGAAGGUCCGGCUAACUUCGUGCCAGCAGCCGCGGUAAUACGAAGGGACCUAGCGUAGUUCGGAAUUACUGGGCUUAAAGAGUUCGUAGGUGGUUGAAAAAGUUAGUGGUGAAAUCCCAGAGCUUAACUCUGGAACUGCCAUUAAAACUUUUCAGCUAGAGUAUGAUAGAGGAAAGCAGAAUUUCUAGUGUAGAGGUGAAAUUCGUAGAUAUUAGAAAGAAUACCAAUUGCGAAGGCAGCUUUCUGGAUCAUUACUGACACUGAGGAACGAAAGCAUGGGUAGCGAAGAGGAUUAGAUACCCUCGUAGUCCAUGCCGUAAACGAUGUGUGUUAGACGUUGGAAAUUUAUUUUCAGUGUCGCAGGGAAACCGAUAAACACACCGCCUGGGGAGUACGACCGCAAGGUUAAAACUCAAAUGAAUUGACGGGGACCCGCACAAGUAGUGGAGCAUGUGGUUUAAUUCGAAGAUACGCGCAGAACCUUACCAACACUUGACAUGUUCGUCGCAACUCUAAGAGAUUAGAGUUUUCGGUUCGGCCGGACGAAACACAGGUGCUGCAUGGCUGUCGCCAGCUCGUGUCGUGAGAUGUUGGGUUAAGUCCCGCAACGAGCGCAACCCUCACUUUUAGUUGCCAUCAUUAAGUUGGGCACUCUAAAAGAACUGCCAGUGAUAAGCUGGAGGAAGGUGGGGAUGACGUCAAGUCCUCAUGGCCCUUACGUGUUGGGCUACACACGUGCUACAAUGGUAUCUACAACAGGAAGCAAGACGGCGACGUCAAGCAAAUCCCUAAAAGAUACCUCAGUUCGGAUUGCACUCUGCAACUCGAGUGCAUGAAGCUGGAAUUACUAGUAAUCGUGGAUCAGCGUGCCACGGUGAAUGCGUUCCCGGGUCUUGUACACACCGCCCGUC